CGCAGAAAUGGUUCCUCCAAGUUAUCCAUUGGCACGAUCCUUCUCAUUGUGUUUGUCUCCCUUCUAUUGCUAUGUAUAUUGCAAUUGGUCUGGAUCGUUGAACAGAAGUUUGUUAGAAAGCAGAGCGGGUAACACUUUAUCUCCGACUAUGAAUUCUGGAGCAGUGUGCCUGGCAAUGUAAAGAUUGGUCUUUUGUAUGCUGCGAAAUGUGGAAAAACAGGACACCGAUUUGAUAAGAUCUAGCGGAACAUGACUGCUAUUUCUCUUCAAAAUGUCAGGAAGAUACAAGCAUAACUAUAAAUUUUUUUAUUUCUUUAAAGAAUGAAGCUUAGAUGUUAUACGAUGUAUCAUAACUUAGGACAGUUUACGCUUUAUAUACACCAAAGUGGUUUUAAUUGUAGAUGGUAAUUUAUGCAGUGCAUGGAAUGUUUAGUAUUUACUGUUUUGCUAAC
Molecule: long non-coding RNA, 452 nt
Organism: Saccostrea cuccullata (small rock oyster)
Lineage: Eukaryota; Metazoa; Mollusca; Bivalvia; Ostreida; Ostreidae
Exons: 3
Source: RefSeq, a predicted model, not a curated record